This 498-nucleotide ribosomal RNA is filed under the name uncultured bacterium. Its description in RNAcentral is "bacterial SSU rRNA". It matches the Rfam family "Bacterial small subunit ribosomal RNA", at positions 791 to 1294 of the family's 1533-position model. The record is from RNAcentral.
UAGUCCACGCUGUAAACGAUGAUCACUAGAUGUUCGGCCUUCGGGUUGAGUGUCCCAGCGAAAGCGAUAAGUGAUCCACCUGGGGAGUACGUCGGCAACGAUGAAACUCAAAGGAAUUGACGGGGGCCCGCACAAGCGGUGGAGCAUGUGGUUUAAUUCGAUGAUACGCGAGGAACCUUACCUAGGCUACAAUGCCUUUGCCAUACUGUGAAAGCAGUAGUUCCUUCGGGACAAAGUGCAAGAUGCUGCAUGGCUGUCGUCAGCUCGUGUCGUGAGAUGUUGGGUUAAGUCCCGCAACGAGCGCAACCCUCAUCCUUAGUUGCCAUCAGGUUUGGCUGGGGACUCUAAGGAAACUGCCGGUGAUAAGCCGGAGGAAGGUGAGGAUGACGUCAGGUCCUCAUGGCCCUUACGGGCUGGGCUACACGCGUGCUACAAUGGCGGCUACAAUGGGAUGCAAUAGGGUGACCUGGAGCUAAUCCUCAAAGGCCGUCUCAGUUC